UUAUAAAUAAAUGUCCUAACCUUGAUGCGCGGGCGAGAGAGAGCGAGCGAGGAAGCGAUCAAAUCAAAAUGGCGUGCAUCGUAAAUUUCUCGGCGAUAACGCAGCCAAAGCCUCAGCCUUGCUUUGCUUCACUCCCAGCCUCCACUUCUUCCCAUCGCUCUAACUCUCCCAAGCUUCAAACUUCACACUUGUCAUUCGCCUCGAAUAAUUCACGCAUCUCCCUCCGUUACGAUAGAACCCUAGCCGUCUCUCCUCCAAGGGAAACCUUGUUGUCAAAAGCUCCUAAUUUCAUGAUAGUAGCAGCUGCUAAUAAGCCAGAACUCUCAAAAUUAUGAUAUCUGGGGCUCCUGCUUCUGGCAAAGGAACCCAAUGCGAGCUCAUCACACAAAAAAAGAACAGAUUGAAUCAAGUCAUCCUCCUAUAUGCAGUAUGGCUUGGUGCAUGUUGCUGCUGGCGAUUUACUUAGGGCAGCAGUUGC
Juglans microcarpa x Juglans regia is the source of this 478-nucleotide long non-coding RNA. RefSeq lists it as uncharacterized. The transcript has 3 exons. Lineage: Eukaryota; Viridiplantae; Streptophyta; Magnoliopsida; Fagales; Juglandaceae. The record is from RefSeq and is a predicted model, not a curated record.